RNAcentral lists this long non-coding RNA (6923 nucleotides) under Homo sapiens (human). Its description in RNAcentral is "non-protein coding LINC02356:8". Lineage: Eukaryota; Metazoa; Chordata; Mammalia; Primates; Hominidae. The record is from RNAcentral.
AGUUCCCUAGCCCAGAAAAGCGGAUUGGAGCCCGGGAAGCUCAUUGCGAUUCCAAAGGUAAGGACUGGCCCAGGUCGUGGAUUAGCCUGCAAAAGCAUUUGGGGGUCCUGGGCGGGCCAUUCGCUGAAGUCCUAGGCUUAAGUCCGAACUCCCCCCAGGACGAGGCAGGAGGAUUGCCUGAGCCUAGUAGUUCAAGACCAGCCUGGGCAGCAGAGGGAGACCACCAUCUCUACAAAUAAUAAAAAUAUUUGCUAAACCUGGGUUGCCAGGUUUAGCAAAUUUAAUGCCCAGUUAAAUUAGAAAAAUAGCUCUAAUUCCUGAAAAAUGUGUGAGUGGCAGAAAAAACAGCUGAAUCCAGGACAUUUGCGUACAGCACUGUUCCAUACGGACAGGGCGCCUCGCAAGCUUCCCCUGGCUCCAGGUGAAGAGAGGAAGUUCUGGAAUUAGGCAGACUUGAGUUCGAGUCGCACUAGGCCACUGAACACUGUGUGAGCUUAGAGAAAUCAUUUCACUUCUCUAAGCCUCCGUUUCCUCAUCCGGAAAAUAAAGACCAUCAUGAUAUGUAAAGUGCACGGCACAACAGAAAGCUCUCAAGAAAUAGGAAUUGCUGUUGUUUUUGCCCUGCCCACCUCCUUGAACCCUUCCUUCCUGUUCCUGCCGCCUCUUCUCCACCACCCGCCACCUCCCAAUCACUAUUAAGUCCUGGCCUGAAAGCAGGAAGAACAGGACAGACCAGGGUCAGCUCUCCAUUGUACAGCCUCUCACUAAGCGCCUACUGUGUGCCAGGCACUGUACCUGAACCAGGUAAGCAGGUGCAGCCAGGAAUCAAGACAACACAAAUGAGUUCUGGAAGUGAUUCAUGCUAGGACUGUACGCUAAGGCAAUGGGGCAGAAAGCCUGGGAGUGCAGUUUUUUUGUUUUUGUUUUUUGUUUUUUGUGUUUUUUUGUCACCCAGGUUGGGGUGCAGUGGCACAAUCACAGCUCAUUGUAACCUGAACUCCUGGGUUCAACCGAGCCUCCCACCUCAGCCUCCCAAGUAGUUGGGACUACAGGUGUGUACCACCACACCCGGCUAAUUUUUUUUAAUUUUUUGUAGAGAUCGGGGGGGUCUUGCUAUCUUGCCCAAGCUGGAAGUGCAGCUUUUAGACAAGGUGGUCAGGGAAGGCCUCUCUGAGGACAGACCUGUAAUCCCAGUUACUUGGGAGGCUGAGACAGGAGAAUCACUUGAACCCAGGAGGCAGAGGUUGCAAUGAGCUGAGAUUGCACCACUGCACUCCAGCCUGGGUGACAGAGCAAGACUCUGUCAAACAAAAAAAAAACAAAAACAAAAAAAAAAACACAAUAGAUCAGAGAUUAUUGGCAAAGCCAGAAAGCCAGGUGACCUAGGGGCUUAAGGACCAGAGGAAAGAUUUUGCUUUUACUCUAAGAAGAAUGAGGAGCCAUGGGAGGGUUUUGAGCAGAGGAGGGACAUGGUCUGUGUUAGAUUUAACAUGGUCCCUGACUGCUAUGGGCAGGGAAUGAUAGUAGAAGCCAGGCGAUCAGGGAGAACACUACUGCAGUAGUCCAAGCAAGUGAUGGUGGUGGCUUAGAGUGGAGCAGUGGAGGUGGAGAGAAGUGGUUAAGUAUAGAUAUAUAUUUAAUGGAUAUAUGUAUUAGUCCGUUUUCACACUGCUGAUAAAGACAUACCCGAAACUGAGAACAAAAAGAGGUUUAAUUGGACUUACAGUUCCACAUGGCUGAGGAGGCCUUGGAAUCAUGGCGGGAGGUGAAAGACACUUCUUACAUGGCAGUGGCAAGAGAAAGUGAGGAAGAAACAAAAGCGGAAACCCCUGAUAAACCCUUCAGAUCUCGUGAGACUUAUUCACUAUUAUAAGAAUAGCGUAGGAAAGACUGGCCCCCAUGACUCAAUGACCUCCUCUUGGGUCCCACUCACAACACGUGGGAAUUCUGGGAGAUACAAAUCAAGUUCAGAUUUUGGUGGGGACACAGCCAAACCAUAUCAUUUUGCCCCGGCCCCUCCAAAUCUCACGUCCUCACAUUUCAAAACCAAUCAUGCCUUCCCAACAGUCCCCCAAAGUCUUAGCUAAUUUCAGAAUUAACCCAAAAUUCCACAGUCCAAAGUCUUGUCUGAGACAAGGCAAGUCCCUUCUGCCUAUGAGCCUGUAAAAUCAAAAGCAAGCUAGUUACUUCCUAGAUACAGUGGGGAUGCAGGUAUUGGGUAAAUACAGCCGUUCCAAAUGGGGGAAAUUGGCCAAAACAAAGGGGUUACAGGGCCCAUGCAAGUCUGAAAUCCAGUGGGGCAGUCAAAUUUUAAAGCUCCAAAAUGAUCUCCUUUGACUCCGGGUCUCACAUCCAGGUCACGCUGAUGCAAGAGAUGGGUUCCCAUGAUCUUGGGCAGCUCCACUCCUGUGGCUUUGCAGGGUACAGGCUUCCUCCUGGCUGCUUUCACGGGCUGGUGGUGAGUAUCUGUGGCUUUUCCAGGCACACAGUGCAAGCUGUCAGUGGAUCUACCAUUUCAGAGUCUGGAGGAUGGUGGCCCUCUUCUCACAGCUCCACUAGGCAGUACCCCAGUAGGGACUCUGUGUGGGGGCUCUGAACCCCACAUUUCCCUUCUGCACCACCCUAGCAGAGGUUCUCCAUGAGGGCCCUGCCCCUGCAGCAAACUUUUGCCUGGGCAUCCAGGCAUUUCCAAACAUCUUCUGAAAUCUAGGCAGAGGUUCCCAAACCUGAAUUCUUGACUUCUGUGCACCCACAGGCUCAACACCACAUGGAAGCUGCCAAGGCUUGGGGCUUCCACCCUCUGAAACCACAGCCUGAGCUCUGUGUUGGUGCCUUUCAGCCAUGGCUGGAGCAGCUGGGACACAGAACACCAACUCCCUAGGAUGCACACAGCACAGGAACCCAGGGCCUGGCCCACAAAACCACUUUUUCCUCCUGGACCUCUGGACCUGUGAUGGAAGGGGCUGCCAGGAAGUUCUCUGACAUGGCCUGGAGACAUUUCCUCCAUGGUCUUGGGGAUUAACAUUAGGCUCCUUGCUACGUAAUGCAAAUUUCUGCAGCCGGCUUGAAUUUCUCCCCAGAAAAUGGGCUUUUCUUUCUAUUACAAUUUACUUCUUAUUUUUUUCUUUUCUUUUCUUUUUUUUUUUUUUUUUUUUUUUUUGAGACAGAGUCUUGCUCUGUUGCCCAGGCUGGAGUGCAGUGGUGUGAUCUCAGCUCACUGCAACCUCCGCCUCCUGGGUUCAAGCGGUUCUUCUGUCUCAGCCUCCUGAGUAGCUGGCACCAGGUGCACGCCAUUGCACAUGGCUAAUUUUUUGUAUUUUUGGUAGAGAUAGGGUUUCACCAUGUUGGUCAGGCUGGUCUUGAACUCCUGACCUCAGGUAAUCUGCCCACCUUGGCUUCCCAAAGUGCUGAGAUUACAGGCUUGAGCCACCGCUCCCAGCCUGCAAGUUACCUCUUGAAUGCUUUGCUGCUUAGAAAUUUCUUCUACCAGAUACCCUAAAUCAUCUCUCUCAAGUUCAAAGUUCCACAGAUCUCUAGGGCAGGGGCAAAAUGCCGCCAGUCUCUUUGCUAAAACAUAACAAGAGUCACCUCUGCUCCAGUUCCCAACAAGUUCCACAUCUCCAUCUGAGACCACCUCAGCCUGAAUUUUAUUGUCCAUAUCACUAUCAGCAUUUUGGCAAAGCCAUUCAACAAGUCUCUAGGAAGCUUGAAACAUUCCCACAUUUUCCUGUCUUCUUCUGAGCCCUCCAAACUGUUCCAACCUCUGCCUGUUACAGUUUCAAAGUCACUUCCACAUUUUUGCCUAUCUUUUCAGCAACACUCCACUCCUGGUACCAAUUUACUGUAUUCAUCCAUUUUUGCACUGCUGACAAUGACAUACCCAAAACUGGGAACAAAAAGAGAUUUUUUGGGUUUUUUUGUUUUUGUUUGAGAUGGAGUCUUACUCUGUCACCCAGGCUGGAGUGCAGUGGUGCAGUCUCAGCUCACUGCAACCUCCGCCUCCUGGGUUCAAGCAAUUUUCCUGCCUCAGCCCCCUGAGUAGCUGGGAUUACAGCUGCCACCACGCCUGGCUAAUUUUUUGUAUUUUUAGUAGAGGUGGAGUUUCACCAUGUUGGCCAGGCUGGUCUCGAACUCCUGACCUCUUUUUUUUUUUAAAUACUUUAAGUUCUACAGUACAUGUGCACAACGUGCAGGUUCGUUACAUAUGUAUACAUGUGCCAUGUUGGUGUGCUGCACCCAUUAACUCGUCAUUUACAUUAGGUACAUCUCCUAAUGCUAUCCCUCCCCCCUCCCCCCACCCCACGACAGGCCCCGGUGUGUGAUGUUCCCCAUCCUGUGUCCAAGUGUCGAACUCCUGACCUCUUGAUCUGCCCUCCUCAGCCUCCCAAAGUGCUGGGAUUACAGGCGUGAGCCACUGCGCCCGGCCAAAAAGAGGUUUAAUUGGAUUUACAGUUCCACGUGGCUGCGGAGGCCUCAGAGUCAUGGCGGGAGGUGAAAGGCACUUCCUACAUGGUGGCGGCAGGAGAAAAUGAGGAAGAAGCAAAAGCAGAAACCCCUGAUAAACCCAUCAGAUCUCAUGAAACUUAUUCACUCUCAUGAGAAUUACACGGGAAAGACCAGCCCCCAUGAUUCGAUGACCUCCCCCAGGGUCCCUCCCACAACACAUGGGAAUUCUGGGAGAUACAAUUCAAGUUGAGAUUUCAGUGGGGACACAGCCAAACCACAUUAAUAUAUAUUUAAGAUAUAUGUAAAAUUUGAUGAUAGGUUGCAUGUGGGGAAUGAGAGAGAGACAGAGAGAGAGGAAGGAAGAAAAGGAGUUAAGAAUAACUCCAGGGGCCGGGCACAGUGGUUCACGCCUGUAAUCCCAGUACUUUGGGAGGCCAAGGUGGGUGGAUCACGAGGUCAGGAGUUUGAGAUCAGCCUGGCCAAGAUGGUGAAACCCCGUCUCUACUAAAAAUACAAAAAAAAUUAGCCAGGCGUGGUAGUGGGUGCCUGUAAUCCCAGCUACUCGAGAGACUGAGGCAGAGAAUUGCUUAAACCCGGGAGGCAGAGGAUGCAGUGAGCUGAGGUCACCCCACUGCACUCCAGCCCGGGCGACAGAGCAAAACUCUGUCUCAAAAAACAAAAAAAAAGAAAAGAAGAAAAAGAACUCCAGGGCCAGGUAUGCUGGCUUACAUCUGUAAUCCCCGCACUUUGGGAAGCCGAGGCAGGAGGAUCACUUGAGCCUGGGAGUUUGAGACCAGCUUGGGCAACACAGGGAGACCCCAUCUCUACAAAUGAUAAAAAUAUUACCCAGGGCUGGACACAGUGGCUCACACCAGCAAUCCCAGAACUUUGGGAGGCCAAGGUGGGUGGAGACCUCGUCUCUACAAAAAAUAAAAAAUAAAAAUAAAAAGGACUCUCAACUUUUGGACCUAAGUAAUGGGAAAAAUGGAGAUUCGAAGGGAAAAAUCCAGAUUAGUCUUUUCAUCAAAUUGAGCUGGAAUAACUGGAUAUUCAUAUAGAAAAAAACAGCCUUGAUACUUACCUCAUGCCAUACAUAAAAAUUAACUCAAAAUACAUCAAACUCUUGCACAUAAAAGCUAAACUCUAAAAUCUCUAGAAGAAAAUAGGGGCUGCCAGGCACAAUGGCUCAUGCCUGUAAUCUCAGCACUUUGGGAGGCCAAACAAAGUGCGAGGAUCGCCUGAGUUAGUGACCAGCCUGGGCAAAAUAGUAAGAACCCAUCUCUUAAAAAAUUGUUUUUUAAUUAGCUGGGUGUGGUGGCGCAUGCCUGUAGUCCCAGCUACUCAGGAACCUGAGGCAGGAGGAUCGCUUGAGCCCAGGAGGUCAAGGCCGCAGUGAACUAGGAUCACGCCACUGCACCCCAGCCUGAACGACAGAGUGAGACCCUGUCUCCAAAAAAUAAGUAAAUAAGGUCGGGCACGAUGGCUCACACCUGCAAUCCCAGCAUUUUGGGAGGCCGAGGCGGGCAGAUCAUGAGGUCAGGAGUUUGAGACCAGCCUGGCCAACAAGGUGAAACCUCAUCUCUACUAAAGAUACAAAAAAUUGGGCCGGGCAUGGUGGCUCAUGCCUGUAAUCCCAGCACUUUGGGAGGCCGAGGCGGGUGGAUCACCUGAGGUCAGGAGUUCGAGACCAGCCUUACCAAUAUGGUGAAACCCUGGCUCUAUUAAAAAUAAAAAUAAUUAGCCGGGUGUGGUGGCGUGUGCCUGUAGUCCCAGCUACUUGGGAGGCUGAGGCAGGAGAAUUGCUUGAACCCUGGAGGUGGAGGUUGCAGUAGCUGAGAUUGCACCACUGCACUCCAGCCUGGACGACAGAGCGAGACUCUGUCUCAAAAAAAAAAAAAAAAUACACAAAAUUAGCCAGGCAUGGUGGCACAUGCCUGUAAUCCCAGCUACUCGGGAGGCUGAGGCAGGAGAAUCACUUGUACCCGGGAGGUGGAGGUUGCACCAAGCCAAGAUCGCGCCAUUGCACUCCAGCCUGGGCCACAGGGCAAGACUCUACCUCAAAAAAAAAAAAAAAGGAACUAAAAAUAAUAAAAUAGAAAAUCUUUACAACUUUAGGAUAAAGAUUUCUUAAGACUCAAAGAGCAUAAACUAGAAAAAAAUAAAAAUUGGACUUCAGUAGGUUGGGGGGUUUUUUUUGUUUUGUUUUUUUGAGACAGGAUUUUGCCCUGUUGUCCAGGCCGGAGUGCAAUCUCAGCUCACUGCAACCUCCAUCUCCUGGGUUCAAGCAUUUCUUCUGCCUCAGCCUCCCAAGUAGCUGGGACUACAGGUGUGUGCCACCAUGCCUGGCUAAUUUUUGUGUUUUUAGUAGAGACAGAGUUUUGCCAUGUUGGCCAUGCUGGUCUCGAACUCCUGACCUCAGGUGAUCUGCCGGCCUCACCCUCCCAAAGUGCUGGGGUUAUAGGUGUGAGCCACUGCAC